UACGUAGGGUGCAAGCGUUAAUCGGAAUUACUGGGCGUAAAGCGUGCGCAGGCGGUGAUGUAAGACAGAUGUGAAAUCCCCGGGCUCAACCUGGGAACUGCAUUUGUGACUGCAUCGCUGGAGUACGGCAGAGGGGGAUGGAAUUCCGCGUGUAGCAGUGAAAUGCGUAGAUAUGCGGAGGAACACCGAUGGCGGAAGGCAAUCCCCUGGGCCUGUACUGACGCUCAUGCACGAAAGCGUGGGGAGCAAACAGG
RNAcentral lists this ribosomal RNA (254 nucleotides) under uncultured bacterium. RNAcentral describes it as "partial 16S ribosomal RNA". It matches the Rfam family "Bacterial small subunit ribosomal RNA", at positions 524 to 776 of the family's 1533-position model. The record is from RNAcentral.